This 618-nucleotide ribosomal RNA is filed under the name Nematoda (nematodes). Its description in RNAcentral is "LSU rRNA". It matches the Rfam family "Eukaryotic large subunit ribosomal RNA", at positions 402 to 853 of the family's 3401-position model. Lineage: Eukaryota; Metazoa. RNAcentral also lists the same sequence under 1 other name. The record is from RNAcentral.
AAACCGAUGAGGUGGAAACGGACAGAGCUGGCGUAUCUGGCCUGCAUUCAGCCGCUGCGCGUCGGGCCCCGGUUUGCCGCACUCCAGAUUGGGAAGGUGGCUGGGCUGCUGGCGUGCUGGUGGUGCAUUUGCAGGUGGAGUGCGCCGAGGCGCCCGGUUCAGCGGCAUGAGCUCGGCUUUGAGGCCAGUCGCGCAAGCGGUCUGGUACCCGGGUCGGGGGAGUGUUGUUUGGGCUGGGUGUUCGCUGGGGCACAGGUUUCGGGCCCGGGUAGGUGCCGAGCUGGCGGUCGGCGGCGGUCGCGUGCGACACGUGCCAGCAGUCAGUUCGGUCCUGCUCGAGCUCUCUCGUGUCCGGCCUCGGUGUAAAAGCCGGUCAUCUGUCCGACCCGUCUUGAAACACGGACCAAGGAGUUUAGCGUGUGCGCGAGUCAUUGGGUGUUGAAAACCCAGAGGCGUAAUGAAAGUGAAGGUCUGCCUUGUGCAGCUGAUGUGUGAUCCUGGGCGCCGCGGUGCCCGGGCGCAACAUAGUCCCGUCCCGACUGCAUGCAGUGGGGCGGAGACAGAGCGUACGCGCUGAGACCCGAAAGAUGGUGAACUAUUCCUGAGCAGGAUGAAGCC